GAUGAACGCUGGCGGCGUGCCUAAUACAUGCCAGUCGAGCGAACAGACGAGGAGCUUGCUCCUCUGACGUUAGCGGCGGACGGGUGAGUAACACGUGGAUAACCUACCUAUAAGACUGGGAUAACUUCGGGAAACCGGAGCUAAUACCGGAUAAUAUAUUGAACCGCAUGGUUCAAUAGUGAAAGACGGUUUUGCUGUCACUUAUAGAUGGAUCCGCGCCGCAUUAGCUAGUUGGUAAGGUAACGGCUUACCAAGGCAACGAUGCGUAGCCGACCUGAGGGGGUGAUCGGCCACACUGGAACGGAGACACGGUCCAGACGCCUACGGGAGGCAGCAGUAGGGAAUCUUCCGCAAUGGGCGAAAGCCUGACGGAGCAACGCCGCGUGAGUGAUGAAGGUCUUCGGAUCGUAAAACUCUGUUAUUAGGGAAGAACAAAUGUGUAAGUAACUAUGCACGUCUUGACGGUACCUAAUCAGAAAGCCACGGCUAACUACGUG
This 497-nucleotide ribosomal RNA is filed under the name uncultured bacterium. Its description in RNAcentral is "partial 16S ribosomal RNA". It matches the Rfam family "Bacterial small subunit ribosomal RNA", at positions 28 to 507 of the family's 1533-position model. The record is from RNAcentral.